This 492-nucleotide ribosomal RNA is filed under the name uncultured bacterium. Its description in RNAcentral is "partial 16S ribosomal RNA". It matches the Rfam family "Bacterial small subunit ribosomal RNA", at positions 29 to 507 of the family's 1533-position model. The record is from RNAcentral.
AGUGAACGCUGGCGGUAGGCCUAACACAUGCGAGUCGAACGGCAGCACAGUAAGAGCUUGCUCUUACGGGUGGCGAGUGGCGGACGGGUGAGGAAUACAUCGGAAUCUACUUUUUCGUGGGGGAUAACGUAGGGAAACUUACGCUAAUACCGCAUACGACCUACGGGUGAAAGCAGGGGAUCUUCGGACCUUGCGCGAUUGAAUGAGCCGAUGUCGGAUUAGCUAGUUGGCGGGGUAAAGGCCCACCAAGGCGACGAUCCGUAGCUGGUCUGAGAGGAUGAUCAGCCACACUGUAACUGAGACACGGUCCAGACUCCUACGGGAGGCAGCAGUGGGGAAUAUUGGACAAUGGGCGUAAGCCUGAUCCAGCCAUACCGCGUGGGUGAAGAAGGCCUUCGGGUUGUAAAGCCCUUUUGUUGGGAAAGAAAAGCAGCAGGUUAAUACCCCGCUGUUCUGACGGUACCCAAAGAAUAAGCACCGGCUAACUUCGUG